UACAGAGGUCUCAACCGUUGUUCGGAUUCAUUGGGCGUAAAGGGUGCGUAGGCGGUCGUGCAAGUCGGAUGUGAAAUCUCAGGGCUCAACCCUGAAACUGCAUUCGAUACUGCGUGGCUAGAGUGCUGGAGAGGAGACUGGAAUUUACGGUGUAGCAGUGAAAUGCGUAGAUAUCGUAAGGAAGACCAGUGGCGAAGGCGAGUCUCUGGACAGCAACUGACGCUGAGGCACGAAGGCCAGGGGAGCAAACAGG
Molecule: ribosomal RNA, 253 nt
Filed under: uncultured bacterium
Lineage: Bacteria
Description: partial 16S ribosomal RNA
Rfam family: Bacterial small subunit ribosomal RNA
Source: RNAcentral